Lycium barbarum (goji berry) is the source of this 664-nucleotide long non-coding RNA. RefSeq lists it as uncharacterized. The transcript has 2 exons. Lineage: Eukaryota; Viridiplantae; Streptophyta; Magnoliopsida; Solanales; Solanaceae. The record is from RefSeq and is a predicted model, not a curated record.
GGGCUUUGUUCUCUACAUUAAAGAGAACUUAAAUCCGAAAUUUGAGCCAAUUUGGAGUUGAUUUGAGGGUAGUUGAAUUUUUGACUUGUUCUUGUGUUCUUGAAGACCUUCAAAUCUUCAUAAGGAAGAAGACUCUCCAAAGGGUCAUUUGAUCCAAAAGUUGUCAAAGAAAGUUGUGAAAAAAGUGUUUGUGGUCCAACAAAAACAAAAAAAAAAUCAGAAAUACUUGGUCUAAAUUUCUGAUUUUUGCAAAAAAAAAAAAAAAAAAAAAAAAAGAAUCGAAUUGGCCCAUAUGCGACACUACAUGCGAGUCGCAUGUUGUGUCGCAUCUUGUGACAGAAAGUUGACAAAGUUGGUUGCCUCAUAUGCGAGACGCAUCUCACCAUCACAUGUAGAACAUGCGAGUCGCACAUGGUUUCGCAUCCUGUGACAGAGAGUUGACACCUUGGUUGCAUCAUCUGCGAAACGCAAAUCGCCCUCGCAUAUUGCAUAUGCGAGUCGCAUGUGAUGCACAGGCGUAGCAUGUUGCGCAUUUCAGGUUUUUUUCAACUUUAAUUCUCUUUGAUUCCAUUUCUCAAAACAAAAAUUUCUUGAUCCUUAGUUGAUGGUCUUGUGUCCCUAAUCCUUUGGUAGGGAACAAAAAAAAAAAAAAAAAGUAUAGAAA